Molecule: ribosomal RNA, 775 nt
Filed under: uncultured Neocallimastigales
Lineage: Eukaryota; Fungi; Neocallimastigomycota; Neocallimastigomycetes; Neocallimastigales
Description: partial large subunit ribosomal RNA
Rfam family: Eukaryotic large subunit ribosomal RNA
Source: RNAcentral
GUACACGCUGUGACUAGCAUAUCAAUAAGCGGAGGAAAAGAAACUAACAAGGAUUCCCCUAGUAACGGCGAGGUGAAGCGGGAAGAGCUCAAAUUUGAAAUCUUAAAGAGUUUCCCUUUACGAAUUGUAGUUUAAAGAAGUGUUUUCUGUUGAGGUUUUGGUAAAAGUUCUUUGGAAUAGGACAUCAUAGAGGGUGAGAAUCCCGUAUUUGACCUUUACUUUCAACUUUGUGAUACACUUUCAAAGAGUCGGAUUGUUUGGGAAUGCAGUCCAAAAUGGGUGGUAAAUUUCAUCUAAAGCUAAAUAUUGGCGAGAGGCCGAUAGCGAACAAGUACCGUGAGGGAAAGAUGAAAAGAACUUUGAAAAGAGAGUUAAACAGUACGUGAAAUUGUCAAAAGGGAAGCGUUUGACACCAGUGUUGUUUUUCUGAAAAUCAAUUAAAGAACUGUUUAUGCUAAGCUGUUUAGACUUUAUCAGCUAUCUGUUUAGUUUUGAGCUUUUCUUUAAUGCACUUUUCAGUUAACAAGUCAACAUCAAUUUCUUUUGCUGUAAAAAAGCUUGAGGAAGGCGGCUUGAGAUUCGUCUUAAGUGUUUAUAGCCUCUUGCCUAUGCAGUCGGAGAGAUUGAGGUCUGCAGCGUAGAUCCUUCGGGGCUAAAUGCAUUUGUGCUAAGUUAUAGCAUUUUAUAGACAACUUGUUGACUAUGAUUUGUCUUGUAGCUUACUCGCUUAUGUUAUUUUACCUACGCUUAGGAUGUUGAUAUGCAUGACUGAUAU